UAAUAUAAAGAAAGGGGUUGC
Molecule: microRNA, 21 nt
Filed under: Sarcophilus harrisii (Tasmanian devil)
Lineage: Eukaryota; Metazoa; Chordata; Mammalia; Dasyuromorphia; Dasyuridae
Description: Sha-Mir-7373-o1_3p (mature (guide))
Source: RNAcentral